GUGAGGAAUCUUCCACAAUGGGCGAAAGCCUGAUGGAGCAACGCCGCGUGAAGGAUGAAGGUCUUCGGAUUGUAAACUUCUUUUAUGAGUGAAGAAUAUGACGGUAACUCAUGAAUAAGCACCGGCUAACUACGUGCCAGCAGCCGCGGUCAUACGUAGGGUGCAAGCAUUAUCCGGAGUGACUGGGCGUAAAGAGUUGCGUAGGCGGUUAUGUAAGCGAAUAGUGAAACCUGGUGGCUCAACCACACAGACUAUUAUUCGAACUGCAUAACUCGAGAAUGGUAGAGGUAACUGGAAUUUCUUGUGUAGGAGUGAAAUCCGUAGAUAUAAGAAGGAACACCAAUGGCGUAGGCAGGUUACUGGGCCAUUUCUGACGCUAAGGCACGAAAGCGUGGGGAGCGAACCGGAUUAGAAACCCGUGUAGUCC
Molecule: ribosomal RNA, 427 nt
Filed under: uncultured bacterium
Lineage: Bacteria
Description: partial 16S ribosomal RNA
Rfam family: Bacterial small subunit ribosomal RNA
Source: RNAcentral